RNAcentral lists this ribosomal RNA (423 nucleotides) under Bacillus cereus. Its description in RNAcentral is "bacterial SSU rRNA". It matches the Rfam family "Bacterial small subunit ribosomal RNA", at positions 11 to 427 of the family's 1533-position model. The record is from RNAcentral. Lineage: Bacteria; Bacillati; Bacillota; Bacilli; Caryophanales; Bacillaceae.
GUUUGAUCCUGGCUCAGGAUGAACGCUGGCGGCGUGCCUAAUACAUGCAAGUCGAGCGAAUGGAUUAAGAGCUUGCUCUUAUGAAGUUAGCGGCGGACGGGUGAGUAACACGUGGGUAACCUGCCCAUAAGACUGGGAUAACUCCGGGAAACCGGGGCUAAUACCGGAUAACAUUUUGAACCGCAUGGUUCGAAAUUGAAAGGCGGCUUCGGCUGUCACUUAUGGAUGGACCCGCGUCGCAUUAGCUAGUUGGUGAGGUAACGGCUCACCAAGGCAACGAUGCGUAGCCGACCUGAGAGGGUGAUCGGCCACACUGGGACUGAGACACGGCCCAGACUCCUACGGGAGGCAGCAGUAGGGAUCUUCCGCAAGGAGAAAGUCUGACGGAGCAACGCCGCGUGAGUGAGAGGCUUUCGGGUCGUA